GACGAACGCUGGCGGCGUGCUUAACACAUGCAAGUCGAACGGAAAGGCCCUGCUUUUGUGGGGUGCUCGAGUGGCGAACGGGUGAGUAACACGUGAGUAACCUGCCCUUGACUUUGGGAUAACUUCAGGAAACUGGGGCUAAUACCGGAUAGGAGCUCCUGCUGCAUGGUGGGGAUUGGAAAGUUUCGGCGGUUGGGGAUGGACUCGCGGCUUAUCAGCUUGUUGGUGGGGUAGUGGCUUACCAAGGCUUUGACGGGUAGCCGGCCUGAGAGGGUGACCGGCCACAUUGGGACUGAGAUACGGCCCAGACUCCUACGGGAGGCAGCAGUGGGGAAUAUUGCACAAUGGGCGGAAGCCUGAUGCAUCAACGCCGCGUGCGGGAUGACGGCCUUCGGGUUGUAAACCGCUUUCGCCUGUGACGAAGCGUGAGUGACGGUAAUGGGUAAAGAAGCACCGGCUAACUACGUG
This 468-nucleotide ribosomal RNA is filed under the name uncultured bacterium. Its description in RNAcentral is "partial 16S ribosomal RNA". It matches the Rfam family "Bacterial small subunit ribosomal RNA", at positions 28 to 507 of the family's 1533-position model. The record is from RNAcentral.